GGGGGGUGCGAGCGUUGUCCGGAAUCACUGGGCGUAAAGGGCGCGUAGGUGGUCUGAUAAGGGUGUGGUGAAAGCCCGGGGCUCAACCCCGGGUCGGCCGUGCCGACUGUUGGACUAGAGUGCUGUAGGGGCAGGCGGAAUUCCGGGUGUAGCGGUGGAAUGCGUAGAGAUCCGGAGGAAGACCGGUGGCGAAGGCGGCCUGCUGGGCAGUUACUGACACUGAGGCGCGACAGCGUGGGGAGCAAACAGGAUUAGAUACCCUGGUAGUCCACGCCGUAAACGAUGAUGACUAGCUGUCGGGGCGCUUAGCGUUUCGGUGGCGCAGCUAACGCGUUAAGUCAUCCGCCUGGGGAGUACGGCCGCAAGGUUA
This 370-nucleotide ribosomal RNA is filed under the name uncultured bacterium. RNAcentral describes it as "bacterial SSU rRNA". It matches the Rfam family "Bacterial small subunit ribosomal RNA", at positions 527 to 896 of the family's 1533-position model. The record is from RNAcentral.